RNAcentral lists this ribosomal RNA (481 nucleotides) under uncultured bacterium. RNAcentral describes it as "bacterial SSU rRNA". It matches the Rfam family "Bacterial small subunit ribosomal RNA", at positions 34 to 507 of the family's 1533-position model. The record is from RNAcentral.
CGCUGGCGGCAUGCUUUACACAUGCAAGUCGAACGGCAGCACGGGAGCUUGCUCCUGGUGGCGAGUGGCGAACGGGUGAGUAAUGCAUCGGAACGUACCCAGUAGGUGGGGGAUAGCCCGGCGAAAGCCGGAUUAAUACCGCAUAUUUCCUGAGGGAGAAAGCGGGGGACCUUCGGGCCUCGCGCUACUGGAGCGGCUGAUGUCGGAUUAGCUAGUUGGUGAGGUAAAGGCUCACCAAGGCGACGAUCCGUAGCUGGUCUGAGAGGAUGAUCAGCCACACUGAGACUGAGACACGGCCCAGACUCCUACGGGAGGCAGCAGUGGGGAAUUUUGGACAAUGGGGGCAACCCUGAUCCAGCCAUGCCGCGUGAGUGAAGAAGGCCUUCGGGUUGUAAAGCUCUUUCAGGUGGAAAGAAAUCACUACCCCGAAUACGGGUGGUGGAUGACGGUACCAUCAGAAGAAGCACCGGCUAACUACGUG